UACGUAGGGGGCAAGCGUUGUCCGGAAUCAUUGGGCGUAAAGAGCGUGUAGGCGGCCAAGCAGGUCCGUUGUGAAAACUGGAGGCUUAACCUCCAGACGUCGACGGAAACCGCGUGGCUAGAGUCCGGAAGAGGAGAGUGGAAUUCCUGGUGUAGCGGUGAAAUGCGCAGAUAUCAGGAAGAACACCAAUGGCGAAGGCAGCUCUCUGGGACGGUACUGACGCUGAGACGCGAAAGCGUGGGGAGCGAACAGG
RNAcentral lists this ribosomal RNA (253 nucleotides) under uncultured bacterium. RNAcentral's name for it is "partial 16S ribosomal RNA". It matches the Rfam family "Bacterial small subunit ribosomal RNA", at positions 524 to 776 of the family's 1533-position model. The record is from RNAcentral.